RNAcentral lists this long non-coding RNA (428 nucleotides) under Ananas comosus (pineapple). Its description in RNAcentral is "long non-coding RNA (ACOM_LNC004799)". The record is from RNAcentral. Lineage: Eukaryota; Viridiplantae; Streptophyta; Magnoliopsida; Poales; Bromeliaceae.
CCAAAUUUUUUUAUAUUUUAAAAUAGGCUAAAUUACAGAAAACCCUCCUGUAAUAACUCGCUUUUUCACUUUCCCCCCCUGACAUUUAAAAACCUACACUUUGCCCCCUUGUAAAAUGAAAAAUGUUCACAGGGGGGUUACGGUGUGUAAAAUGACCAUUUUGCCCCUCGCCAUUGUUGUCUUCUUCCUGAGCUUCCUCAGCAGCCCCUUCGAUUCGCCGCUAUUUCCACCUCAAUCGGCCACGAUUCCUCUCCAAUUNAUAUAUAUAUAUAUAUAUAUAUAUAUAUAGUGUAGGACUACUAUGCUAUCGAAAAUAUAGAGGAUUUGAUGUUUUCGAAUUUUUGACAUUUUGAUUAAGAAUUAUAUAGUUGGGAUGAUUGCGGUCCCUCCUAGGAUUAAAUAAUAUUCCUAGAAUUGAGUUCAUGUUC